This 253-nucleotide ribosomal RNA is filed under the name uncultured bacterium. RNAcentral's name for it is "partial 16S ribosomal RNA". It matches the Rfam family "Bacterial small subunit ribosomal RNA", at positions 524 to 776 of the family's 1533-position model. The record is from RNAcentral.
UACGUAGGGACCAAGCGUUGUUCGGAUUUACUGGGCGUAAAGGGCGCGUAGGCGGCGUGUUAAGUCAGCUGUGAAAUCUCCAAGCUUAACUUGGAACGGUCAGCUGAUACUGAUGUGCUAGAGUGCAGAAGGGGCAAUCGGAAUUCUCGGUGUAGCGGUGAAAUGCGUAGAUAUCGAGAGGAACACCUGCGGCGAAGGCGGGUUGCUGGGCUGACACUGACGCUGAAGUGCGAAAGCUAGGGGAGCGAACGGG